UUUGUAUUCCCUCCGUUUGGAAAUACUUGUCAUCAAAAUGGAUAAAAAAAAUGUAUCUAGAGGUAUUUUAGUUUUAGAUACAUUCGAUUUUAUCCGUUUUAAUGAGAAGUAUUUUCGGACGGAGGAAGUACUAA
Non-coding RNA from Triticum aestivum (bread wheat), 134 nucleotides. The record is from Rfam. Lineage: Eukaryota; Viridiplantae; Streptophyta; Magnoliopsida; Poales; Poaceae.